CUCUGUGACUCCUACGGGAGGCAGCAGUGGGGAAUAUUGCACAAUGGGGGAAACCCUGAUGCAGCCAUGCCGCGUGUGUGAAGAAGGCCUUCGGGUUGUAAAGCACUUUCAGUAGGGAGGAAGGUAGUGUAGUUAACACCUGCACUAUUUGACGUUACCUACAGAAGAAGCACCGGCUAACUCCGUGCCAGCAGCCGCGGUAAUACGGAGGGUGCGAGCGUUAAUCGGAAUUACUGGGCGUAAAGCGCAUGCAGGCGGCCUGUUAAGUCAGAUGUGAAAGCCCGGGGCUUAACCUCGGAAUUGCAUUUGAAACUGGCAGGCUAGAGUCUUGUAGAGGGGGUAGAAUUUCAGGUGUAGCGGUGAAAUGCGUAGAGAUCUGAAGGAAUACCAGUGGCGAAGGCGGCCCCCUGGACAAAGACUGACGCUCAGAUGCGAAAGCGUGGGGAGCAAACAGGAUUAGAUACCCUGGUGG
RNAcentral lists this ribosomal RNA (472 nucleotides) under uncultured bacterium. RNAcentral's name for it is "bacterial SSU rRNA". It matches the Rfam family "Bacterial small subunit ribosomal RNA", at positions 328 to 793 of the family's 1533-position model. The record is from RNAcentral.